This is a long non-coding RNA of Astatotilapia calliptera (eastern happy), 1177 nucleotides long. Lineage: Eukaryota; Metazoa; Chordata; Actinopteri; Cichliformes; Cichlidae. The record is from Ensembl.
GCAGCUGUUAAAUCCAGCUGCUGUAUUUCCAUGGAGAGAAAAAGUUAUCUGCCAUACUGCUGUGAGUUUACAGUUAUGCUGUGUUGGACUGGUGCACUGGACAGUUACUGUGGUUCUUAUGGUGAGUGUUUGGUUACAUUGAAUGUAGUAGACUAAUUUGCAUUUAUUUGUGAUGAUGCUUAGAUGCUAAUUCACUGAAUUACCAACUGUAUACAGUCUAGUAUAAAGGCAAUAUACAAUAUACUGUUAGUGUAGGAAAUGGAAACCAGCCAAGAUAGCUCAUGAAACAUCUGCUUACAUGUUGUUGAAUUGAGCUGCAUAAAUCCACAAACAGCAAUGGGUCACCUGAUCACAGCCUCUACCAGAGCUCACACAUCACAGCUAUAUGUUUCAAAUAGCUGCAAAACACCAUCACCAGAAUGUAAUAGUAUAUUAAAGAACAUUAAAGUAUGGAAAAACACUAGACUUUUGGAUGGUGGCUGAAUUUUCUUUUAUUCUCUGUGACGGUGGUUCCACCUUGGCCCUUUUUUUAUUUUAUUUUAUUUAUUUAUUUAUUUUUUACAUCAGGCUUAUUAGUAGUAAAGUUUAACUGGGCAACUAGUAGUCGAUUGAGAGAUGGAGAACCAAUAGCAGACAGUAAAUCAGUAAUGUAAGAAGUCUGUGCUGACAGGGGUAAUAAAGUUACCCCAGUAAACAAGUUUGCAGGUGCGACCUAUGUACAUGUAUGUUUGCUUCCUUAGAAGAAAAGAAAGAAGGAGCAAUCCAGUGUCUUGACAGCUGUGUUAAUUUUCCCUACAAAUUCAAAUGUAGUUUUAGUCUUAGAGUUUUGACUAAAAUGUCAGUUAGUUUUAAUCUUAAUCUAAGUAAUUCUUUCAUUCCUAGAUAAAAGACGACUAAAUCUAAAGACUAAAAUAGAAUAUUUACAAGUUUGUCAUGUUUUUACCCGUGAGAGUUGCUCCAGACACUUUACAUCAAAAAUGUUCAAAAAUGACAUAAAAAAUGUGGCUUCCUCUCAAGCACUGACCUGUUGUUAUUAUUUUGAUGAGAAACAGGGAGCAUGGGUGCUGGCUCUACCAUUUCCCCCAACAAAGCUGUACCAUUUACCAGGGGCAGAUCAAAUCUAACCCAAAACUUUACUUCUUUGGAUCUCGUCUCUCCAGAAUAUCUUCAUCGUCAU